RNAcentral lists this ribosomal RNA (291 nucleotides) under uncultured prokaryote. Its description in RNAcentral is "partial 16S ribosomal RNA". It matches the Rfam family "Bacterial small subunit ribosomal RNA", at positions 524 to 820 of the family's 1533-position model. The record is from RNAcentral.
UACGUAGGGGGCGAGCGUUGUCCGGAGUUACUGGGCGUAAAGAGCGUGUAGGCGGUUGGAAAAGUCAGGUGUGAAAUUCUUCGGCUCAACCGGGGGACUGCGCCUGAAACUUUCCGACUGGAGUUUGGGAGGGGCAACCGGAAUUCCUGGUGUAACGGUGAAAUGUGUAGAUAUCAGGAGGAACACCCGUGGCGAAGGCGGGUUGCUGGACCAAAACUGACGCUGAGACGCGAAAGCGUGGGUAGCAAACAGGAUUAGAUACCCCUGUAGUCCCUGAGCGGGCUGGCAAGG